RNAcentral lists this ribosomal RNA (464 nucleotides) under uncultured bacterium. RNAcentral describes it as "bacterial SSU rRNA". It matches the Rfam family "Bacterial small subunit ribosomal RNA", at positions 28 to 507 of the family's 1533-position model. The record is from RNAcentral.
GACGAACGCUGGCGGCGUGCUUAACACAUGCAAGUCGAACGAUGAUGCCAGCUUGCUGGUGGAUUAGUGGCGAACGGGUGAGUAACACGUGGGUGAUCUGCCCCAAACUUUGGGAUAAGCCUGGGAAACUGGGUCUAAUACCGGAUAGUACCUUCCCUUGCAAGGGGGUUGGUGGAAAGCUCCGGCGGUUUGGGAUGGGCCCGCGGCCUAUCAGCUUGUUGGUGGGGUAAUGGCCUACCAAGGCGACGACGGGUAGCCGGCCUGAGAGGGCGACCGGCCACACUGGGACUGAGACACGGCCCAGACUCCUACGGGAGGCAGCAGUGGGGAAUAUUGCACAAUGGGCGCAAGCCUGAUGCAGCGACGCCGCGUGAGGGAUGACGGCCUUCGGGUUGUAAACCUCUUUCACCAGGGACGAAGCGUGAGUGACGGUACCUGGAGAAGAAGCACCGGCCAACUACGUG